Molecule: ribosomal RNA, 467 nt
Filed under: uncultured bacterium
Lineage: Bacteria
Description: partial 16S ribosomal RNA
Rfam family: Bacterial small subunit ribosomal RNA
Source: RNAcentral
GACGAACGCUGGCGGCGUGCUUAACACAUGCAGGUCGAACGGAAAGGCCCUGCUUUUGUGGGGUGCUCGAGUGGCGAACGGGUGAGUAACACGUGAGUAACCUGCCCUUGACUUUGGGAUAACUUCAGGAAACUGGGGCUAAUACCGGAUAGGAGCUCCUGCUGCAUGGUGGGGGUUGGAAAGUUUCGGCGGUUGGGGAUGGACUCGCGGCUUAUCAGCUUGUUGGUGGGGUAGUGGCUUACCAAGGCUUUGACGGGUAGCCGGCCUGAGAGGGUGACCGGCCACAUUGGGACUGAGAUACGGCCCAGACUCCUACGGGAGGCAGCAGUGGGGAAUAUUGCACAAUGGGCGGAAGCCUGAUGCAGCAACGCCGCGUGCGGGAUGACGGCCUUCGGGUUGUAAACCGCUUUCGCCUGUGACGAAGCGUGAGUGACGGGAAUGGGUAAAGAAGCACCGGCGAACUACGG